GAGGUGGAGAUCAAAAAGGAACAUCAAGUGUUGAUGGUGAAUAAAACCACUAAGUUCAAGAAAGGCAAGGGUAAGAAGAAAUUCAAGAAGGACGACAAGGGAGUUGCCACGCCCGGUAAGCCAGUUGCCGGGAAGAAGCCAAGGAAUGGACCCAAGCCUGAGACUGAGUGCUUUUAUUGCAAGGAAAGUGGUCACUGGAAGCGUAACUGCCCCAAAUACUUAGCGGACAAGAAGGCCGGCAACACCAAAGGUAUAUGUGAUAUACAUGUAAUUGAUGUGUACCUUACCAGUACUCGUAGUAGCUCCUGGGUAUUUGAUACCGAUGCGGUUGCUCAUAUUUGUAACUCAAAACAGGAACUGCGGAAUAAGCGGAGACUGGCGAAGGACGAGGUGACGAUGCGCGUCGGGAAUGGUUCCAAGGUCGAUGUAAUCGCCGUCGGCACACUACCUCUGCAUUUACCUACGGGAUUAGUUUUAAACCUCAAUAAUUGCUAUUUAGUGCCAGCUUUGAGCAUGAACAUUGUAUCUGGAUCUCGUUUAAUUCGAGAUGGCUACUCAUUUAAAUCCGAG
RNAcentral lists this ribosomal RNA (570 nucleotides) under Triticum aestivum (bread wheat). RNAcentral describes it as "partial small subunit ribosomal RNA". Lineage: Eukaryota; Viridiplantae; Streptophyta; Magnoliopsida; Poales; Poaceae. The record is from RNAcentral.